Myotis davidii is the source of this 104-nucleotide non-coding RNA. NCBI's taxonomy places the organism in Eukaryota, Metazoa, Chordata, Mammalia, Chiroptera, Vespertilionidae. The record is from Rfam.
GUGCUUAUGUCGGCAGCACGCAUACUAAAAUUAGAAUGAUAUAGAGAUUAGCGAGGCUCCUGUGCAAGGAUGACAUGCAAACUCAUGAAGCAUUCCAUAUUUUU